Molecule: non-coding RNA, 745 nt
Organism: Microcebus murinus (gray mouse lemur)
Lineage: Eukaryota; Metazoa; Chordata; Mammalia; Primates; Cheirogaleidae
Source: RefSeq, a predicted model, not a curated record
CAGGCCUCCUGGGCUGAGGACACCAGGGAGGGGAGCAAGGCGCAUGGAAGCCACGUCUAAGUGUGAGCGAAACCCAGAGCCGGCCUACAGCGCAGGGAGGCCAGCGGCAAGCAGAGCAGGCCAAGGUACCAGCAGCCUGGCUUUCCGAAGAAUGAUAACUUAUUUCUGACCUCAGACGUUGCAGAAAUUACUCUCCAGACGGUUCAUUUUUAACAUCUGUCUGAUCACCCUUCAGCUUCACAGUGGAUUUCACAGCCCUGUCAGGAAACUCUAGCAGUGUUAAAAAGACAUUAAAUUACUGAAUCUCAGACAGGCAACUUCAAAUUAAAACAAUUUGUGUGAAAAUGAAAACCCAGGAAGAUCUGGCUACUCAUCCAAUGCUGGAAACACUCCCAAGAGCCAAUACCGAAUGUUCAUCAGUCCUUCGUCUAAACAGGGAAGGAGACAGAAGUUAACGCAGGAUGUCUCGAACCAGAAUCACCCGAGGUAUUUCCUACACCUCAGGGCUCAUGUUUUCAAUACAGAAUGUUAAGGAGGCAGGAUCCAGCUCAGAUGGUCACUUGAGCAACAAGAGGUCAGGCUGGGUGCUACACAAGACUUAAAAGUGCAGCAGGACACAGGUGAAAUGUGCUCCACUUGGCCCAGUCCAUGAAGCAUUUGGACUACUGCAUUCAUCAUCAUAUUUUUACUUUUGUUAAGCAGUUCUGCAACCUACAUUCCUUAAAUAAUAAAUUGUGAAGACUAA